Small nuclear RNA from Ictidomys tridecemlineatus (thirteen-lined ground squirrel), 107 nucleotides. Lineage: Eukaryota; Metazoa; Chordata; Mammalia; Rodentia; Sciuridae. The record is from Ensembl.
GUGCUCACUUCGGCAGCACAUAUACUAAAGUUGGAACGAUACAGAGAAGAUUAGCCUGGCCUUUGCACAAGGAUGACAGGAAAAUUUGAGAAGCAUUCCAUAUUUUU